RNAcentral lists this ribosomal RNA (590 nucleotides) under Nitrososphaerota archaeon. RNAcentral's name for it is "bacterial SSU rRNA". It matches the Rfam family "Archaeal small subunit ribosomal RNA", at positions 1 to 598 of the family's 1478-position model. Lineage: Archaea; Thermoproteati; Nitrososphaerota. The record is from RNAcentral.
AAUCCGGUUGAUCCUGCCGGACCUGACUGCUAUCGGAUUGGUACUAAGCCAUGCGAGUCAUUGUAGCAAUACAAGGCGGACGGCUCAGUAACACGUAGUCAACCUAACUCGUGGACGUGGAUAACCUCGGGAAACUGAGAAUAAACCACGAUAGAUCAUAGUGCCUGGAAUGGCUUAUGGUCCAAACAGUUUACUGCCAUGGGAUGGGACUGCGGCCUAUCAGCUUGUUGGUGAGGUAAUGGCCCACCAAGGCGAUUACAGGUACGGGCUCUGAGAGGAGAAGCCCGGAGAUGGGUACUGAGACACGGACCCAGGCCCUAUGGGGCGCAGCAGGCGAGAAACCUUAGCAAUGUGCGAAAGCACGACUGGGUCAGUCCGAGUGAUUCCUGAUAAAGGAGUCUUUUGCUUGUCCUAAAAGCACAGGUGAAUAAGGGGUGGGCAAGUCUGGUGUCAGCCGCCGCGGUAAUACCAGCACCUCGAGUGGUCAGGACGUUUAUUGGGCCUAAAGCAUCCGUAGCCGGCUUUGCAAGUCUUCGGUUAAAUCCACCUGCUCAACAGAUGGGCCGCUGGAGAUACUACAGAGCUAGGGA